This is a small nucleolar RNA of Dendrobium catenatum, 203 nucleotides long. RefSeq annotates it as small nucleolar RNA snoR127. Lineage: Eukaryota; Viridiplantae; Streptophyta; Magnoliopsida; Asparagales; Orchidaceae. The record is from RefSeq and is a predicted model, not a curated record. The transcript has a single exon.
CUGGGAUGAUGCAAAAUAGCCAAAUCAGACAUCUUAGUGCUCCUUUAGGCCAUUUGUUGCAAGCUUUUCUCUUGUGCUUAUGUGGAAGCACCUUCUUGGUAGCUUUUGCAUAGAGUGCUUUUUUGGGCAUGUGAACAAGUUGCCUUUAGUAGAAGCGCUUAGCUCUGAUGAUUAAAACUGAGAUUGGUUCCCUGCUGACCAGU